UUUUCAGGUCGUGAUUAUGGUCAGACAGUUUUUGUUACGAAUGGUAAAAUUAAAAUUUUAGAACGCGUCAAAAACAUACAUAUCCCCGUCUUUUCGGAUAUGAAUCUUUGCUAUAUAAAAGUUGUGGUUACAGCGCUAUCACCGCCGAAAGUGGAUUUGGAUUCAACUCACCGUAGUAUUAUUAUAAAAUACGGGUUUCUGCAGAACAUAUUACCAUCAUCAUACGAAGUAGUUGUUAAGGCCUGUCGAUCAUGUGAUAUAAGUUUGUAAUAAAAAUAAAAAAAGGUUUGUAAUUAUGUAAUUAAAAGUAUGAAUGAAAA
Long non-coding RNA from Bombyx mori (domestic silkworm), 320 nucleotides. RefSeq lists it as uncharacterized. The record is from RefSeq and is a predicted model, not a curated record. The transcript has 2 exons. Lineage: Eukaryota; Metazoa; Arthropoda; Insecta; Lepidoptera; Bombycidae.